GACUACGGAAGGCCGAAGGAUUGGGCGCAGCAUUGCUUGGGCUAAAGGCUGACUAGGGCUUCCAGGAAGUGAUGUAUGUGAGAAGUUUGCUUUUUAAAGUGUACGUGGGAUCGUUAUUACGUCGAAAUAGCUCGAGCUGUAACCUAGGGUAAAUAAUAAUUCCUUUUCGUAUUCAUCAAGGUGCUUCUAAGUGCCAGUGCCAGGGCUUGAGUGCAGUGGCACGAUCGAUCUUGGCUCACUGCAACCUCCACCUCCCGAGUUCAAGCGAUUCUCCUGCCUCACCCUCCUGAGUAGCUGGGACUACAGGCCUGCGCCACCACACCUGGCUAACUUCUGAAUAUCAAGCUGAAAUUACUAUCAGAUAUCUUGCCACCACAUAGAGGCUUUGAGUGAAGUCUGCAUGGAGGAGAACAGAGCUGAGAGAUGGAAAGAUACUGAAUCCCAGUGACGUCCUUUGAGAUGUCGGAUCAAGCUGAGCUGGGCGUGAAGAUAGAGCUACUCCUAUACUUUUAAGAUACGAUGAAGUACAGCUUGGCUGACCCAGUUCUUGGGAUGGGAGGAUUAAUGAACUCUCUAAACCAAACUUUUGGAGGAAAAGAACUUCAGAGGAGUUGUGUCUUGCUCUGUCACCCAGGCUGGAGUGCAAUGGUGCGAUCUUGGCUCACUGCAACCUCCGUCUCCCGGAUUCAAGCAAUUCCCCUGCCUCAGCCUCCCGAGUAGCUGGGAUUACAGGCGUGCGUCACUGGGCCCGGCCUACUAAUUGUAUCUUUCCCUUUGGGAAUUUUUGUUUUUGUUUUCGGUAUGGAUCAGAUGGGCUCAAUCCUGCCACCUCACCCCUCAUCCACAGGUAUGAGUUCAGUAUCCAGAUUCAUUCAACAAGAAUAGCAUGUCUCCUUGCUUAUUGGUUCAGUGAUGGAUUCAUAAUCCAAACAAGGCCAAUCAGAACCUUCCCUGUUAAUGUGUGUGAUACAGGGACAUUGGGAGAAAGUAUGACUCUGUUCUUCUCAAAUCAAUAGCUACCAUAAACUAGAACUGCUGACAGCCAUCUUCUAGGGCUGCAUGGAAGUGACUAUCUAAAGGAAGAUAAAAUUAAGCCAAAACACAGGAAAAAGAGAAGUGAGAGCCAGAGAGAUAAAAAUAAACCCUUGACCAAACCGUUGACAUUCUAUUUAUACUGGGCACUACAAUUCCUUUUUUUUUUCUUGUACUUAAGAUAUAAAUUGUUAUUCUGUCAUUUUCAAUACAAAGGGUCUUUACUAAUACACCUCAAAGCAGCAAGAAACUGCUGCAGAAGAAGAUAAAAGUAAGGCAGUAGAAGAUGAAAGUAAAACAAAAACCUUGAUGAUCAGUACAAUUAUUCCUAAUUAACUAUUCAUAUUCCAGAACAACUUUUAAUUUUAUUAACAUACAUCCUCAUAUACCUAUGAAAGAAUUCACCCACAAAUAUCCAAACUCUCAAAUAUCCAUUCUUUUCAUCAACAGUUCCAAGUUAUAAAAAAUGUAUUUAUAGGUAGUGACUCUGAUAUUAGAAGAAAAAGAAAACUUGGCUAUGCUCUUUAUCCUCUAAAUUUGGUAUUUCCUAUCCCAAAUUUACAAACAGAAUAAAUGGAUCUUUCCUCUUUCUUUCCAUUGAUUCCCAAAUAGCCCACUCCUUCAGAUGUGUAUCCUAUUCAAUAUCCUAAAAUUCUCAGCAGUCUUUGGAUUCAAAGUUCAAAACAGUGAAACUGAAAAUUCUCAAGAGGGGACAAUAAUGUGAUGGAAAGGAAGAAAUGUUACUGUUAUUCCUGCCAUGGAUACAAGUAGAGCCUCCUCUCUUACAUUCAUGUAAAAUGGUUUUUGUUUCUGUCUUCUCUAUUAUAGCCUGAGUUAUAUAUUAGUCAAGAACUAACAUAUUCAAAGUCUUGGUGACCAAUAUUAUUCUAGGAUUAGAGGAUCACCCACCUUCUAAAAGUCUUUCUUCUUGUCCAUUUUUUCUUUAGAAUACUUCCAAUUAAUGCUUAAUGUGUGUUCUCAGAGACUGUCUUCUCAGCUGCAAGAUGAUGGACACUGCUUACUUCCUCUCUUGCUUGCUACUUACCUCCCACCCCAAUGACAUGUGGCAAUAGCAGGUCCUUUUCAUUAUCUACUGACUCCAAUCUUUUCUUUUUCCCUUGUUAACAAAAUUCUGACCUUGUUCAGAAUGGCAAUGUUCUCACAUUCACAGGGAUGAGCAGUUGAUUGGUCAUUGCCAGUUAUGGCAGACUUGUUUCCAGCUGUCUUAGCUCUUCAAUACCCAAAUGUGGUCAUGUGACCCAAGUGUCAGUUGACUCUGAAGUGGUUCUGGGAAGGCUUCUGAUGCUGAUGGAAAGAGAUACACUCUGUUAUGAGCCCUCCCAUUUCUUUCUUCUUCCUAGCUUCGACAUGAAUUUGGAAUAUAAACAGCAGCUGCCAUAGUGCUAUAUGAGCUAUGGACAUGAGCAUGAAAGCCAAAAUGCUAAAAAUUGCAGAACACAAAGGUGGAAAAUCUGGGUCUGUGAUGUUGUUGAGUAGUUAACUAGUGUAGAAGCUAGCUGGCUCCAUAUUUCUUGGCAUGUAACGAAAAUACACUAUUUUUCAUUUAAGGUGCUGUUAUCAAGUCUCUCAUUUGUAGCCACACACCCAGUAAUAAUGUCCACAUAUGCUAUUUAGGACUUCUCUGCCUAGAAAACCGAGAGGAUGCCUCACUACCUCAUGUUGGAUGUCGCCCUCUCUGCAGGUCACUGAUACCAGCUGGGCUUGGCUUCUGUGUCCCCUGGGCACCAUUUUCUCCUCUGAGCCUACCUGUUACCACCACUAGACAUCAAUUAUUUAUAUGACAGCCUGGAUGGUACUCUUUAUUUUUCAUGUUGGUUAAAGCAGAGAGCACACACAGCAAUAAAGACCGGUCCCCAGAGUGAAUAUUCUCAAGGUGCAAGAUGAAUUUGGACUGGAAUCAGAGAACAAAAGUGAGUCAGGUUUGCACAGCAGUGAUUCCCAUAAAAAUGGAGAUCCAGUUGACAGAAAUAGUUCAGGCCUAAACUGAGACGUACUAAUACAUUGUUCCCCUUCAAACCAAAAAUAUUUAUCUAUUCAACAGUAGAGAUAAAGGGAGAAACUUAUUUCCUGUUAAUAACAUCAUACACUAAAAGAGGUAACAUGCUAAAUGCACUUCUACCAACUUAGGCAGAUUCAGUCUUCUGAAGAUGAAAAAUAAGAAAAAUAUUUCUGUCUUCUAUUUUUGUCAUCGUUGUUGUUGUUGGUUUUGGUUUUUGUCAAUUUUCUGAACCAGAAAACUUUCUGUGAACUCCACUAAAAGGUUGAACAGUUGGAUAAUAAACUAUGUAUUCACUU
Long non-coding RNA from Pan troglodytes (chimpanzee), 3348 nucleotides. RefSeq lists it as uncharacterized. The record is from RefSeq and is a predicted model, not a curated record. Lineage: Eukaryota; Metazoa; Chordata; Mammalia; Primates; Hominidae. The transcript has 5 exons.